This 253-nucleotide ribosomal RNA is filed under the name uncultured bacterium. RNAcentral's name for it is "partial 16S ribosomal RNA". It matches the Rfam family "Bacterial small subunit ribosomal RNA", at positions 524 to 776 of the family's 1533-position model. The record is from RNAcentral.
UACAGAGGUCUCAAGCGUUGUUCGGAUUCAUUGGGCGUAAAGGGUGCGUAGGUGGCGCGGUAAGUCGGGUGUGAAAUCUCGGAGCUUAACUCCGAAAUUGCAUUCGAUACUGCCGUGCUUGAGGACUGGAGAGGAGACUGGAAUUCCGGGUGGAGCGGUGAAAUGCGUAGAGAUCCGGAGGAACACCGACGGCGUAGGCAGCGCCCUGGCCGUUUCCUGACGCUGAUGCACGAAAGCUGGGGGAGCAAACAGG